Molecule: non-coding RNA, 2074 nt
Organism: Nothobranchius furzeri (turquoise killifish)
Lineage: Eukaryota; Metazoa; Chordata; Actinopteri; Cyprinodontiformes; Nothobranchiidae
Source: RefSeq, a predicted model, not a curated record
CCGACGCCCAGUUUUAGUAGUCAGACAAUCACAGGUACCAAACCUUGGCCCAUGUGAAGCACUUUUUGCUUAUGUGGCAAGCCUGUGUGGAGCUGGCAGUCUUGAUUCAAGCAGCAGGAAGGCAGCCGGUUUUUACCUGCACGUGACCAACCACAAUCCUAAACCUUCUAAAAAACUACAAAAUAAAAUGAAGACGACAAGGAAAAAUUGUGUGGUCCUUGAGUAAAACCCAGUCAUAUAACACUGCAAAGACUCUGCUAUCCACCACUGCUAGUGAGGCAAGCACCAACAGCUAGCAUUUUUAAAUCACGCUUGAAAACUCACUACUUCAACCUAGCUUAUACAACAUAAUUAUGACCAUCACUUACAUCUGCAUUGUUUAAAAAUGGACUUUACAAUAUCGUCAUUCCGUACUAUUGAGGUUCUUUUAAAAUGUUUUUCUAAUUUUUAUUCUCCCUGUGUCUUAUUGAUUUUUAGCUGUUAGUUUUUGGGAAUUUUGUUGCAUUUCCUUUUUAUCUUUUAUCUGUGUUCGACAUGUUUGUAUACCGCCUGUUUAAUUAACUAACAUUUUUAGUGUACAGCGCCUUGUUUGGUUGUAAUGCCUUGUGAAUGCGCUUUAUAAAUAAAAUUGAAUUGAAUUGAAUCCCUUUCAAGCGAGGAUUCUACACAAUUUAAGGCAAGACUUGACAUUGUGUAAGAGAAAUUGCUUUUUCACAUACAACAGAAUCAUACGAUGACAUGUGUGAACAACACUAAACACUGAUUCAUACCUUUUGCUUUCUGCAGCAGCUGGAUUAGAUUUUUUCACUGCGGGCUCCAGGACCUCGAGGUGGCGGAAGCGGCGUUUGCGACAUGGAGCCACAUCAGUGAUGUCACGCAGACCCAGAGGGCUCGGAGUAGAGGAUUCUAAGGAGGGAAACGGUGUGAAAUAAAAACUGAAGAAAAUUCCUACAUUCAGACCAUUAAAUAUAGAUAAUUUUACUAUAUAGAUAAUACAACUAUCUCCGCAAUAACUUAAAGGGACUAUAUCAUGUAAAAUUCAUUUUGACCAUGUUAUAUUGUUAUUUCUUCUUCAAAACACCCUGGGACAGUUUUUGGCUUGACACAUGCAUUUUACCGUCUCAGGUACAGCUACUCUUCAGCUCUGCUAUGGCAUUGGAAAUAGCUGGUUGGGGCUGGUUUGCAUAAUCCUUACCACACUCCUCCCCAACCAGGGAGUCUCGGGUCCAGAUCCCGCCUCCCCUGGACUGUGAACACUAACGCCCAGGCUAUCCAUGUAGCCAGAGGAUAGAAUAAUCUCCACAGUUGUGAAAAAGUGAUUUAUUUUUGUCUUGUCUGCCACUACCAGAGUGGGUUUGCAGAAUCAUUGCUAGAAUAGAAUUAUUAUCUUCAGAACUGCGCUGUUCUAAAGUUAAAACAACCCAAUGGGUAGGCAUGAAAUGUGAGGACAACCAAAAUGCUAACCAUUCAGCUAGUGGUUAUCAAGUUUGGUGGGUCAAAGACAGACUGGGACAAUAAUUAAUCCCAGUAGCUUUUCCCCUGUGUGGGCAGUGUUUGUUAAUGUUCCGUUAACGGCUUCUCAGACAGACAAAAUAGGGAGUGGGAUAGGAUGAGGGUGUCAAUCUGCAUGGUUUUCCAGCUUUUUUCUUUGCUGUGGCUCAUGCCGCUUGGAGAUUUAGGGUUAUGUAAUGAAAUGGGUGGAAUUCACACAGGUGGCAGCAGUCAUAUGUCCCUGUUCAGACGCUCUACUCCAAGAACCAGCUGCUGCUUUUGGCUACCAGAACUGUGCUGAAGCGUUCUUGGUAGUGGGUCUAAACUUGUAGAAUGCACUUCCCUUAUUUGUUAGGCUCUGCUCGUCAGUAGCGGCUUUUAAAAUGAGGCUGAAGACCUACUUUUAUAAUCUGACUUUUAACUCUGUUGGUUAGCUGUUGCUAUUAUUUUAGAUGAUUUUACCUUGUAAUUGUUACUUGUUGGUUUGAAUUUUCUCUGUUGGUUUUUAUCUGUCUUUAUUCUAUUUUGUACAGCACUUUGGUGACAUGUCUGGUGCUUUAUAAAUAAAGGCUGGGUUGAGUUA